UAAUACGAAGGUUGCAAGCGUUGUUCGGUGUCACUGGGCUUAAAGCGUAUGUAGGCGGAAAGGUAAGCGUCUUGUGAAAUCCCUCGGCUUAACCGAGGAAUUGCUGGGCGAACUACCUUUCUUGAGGCAAGUAGGGGUGCAUGGAACUCUUGGUGGAGCGGUGGAAUGCGUAGAUAUCAAGAGGAACGCCAAUGGAGAAAUCAGUGCACUGGGCUUGUCCUGACGCUCAGAUACGAAAGCGUGGGUAGCGAACGGGAUUAGAUACCCCGGUAGUCCACGCCGUAACCGAUGUCUACUAGGUUGCGGGGGUUCUGACACAGUCGCGACCGAAGCAAAAGUGUUAAGUAGACCGCCUGGGGAGUACGGCCGCAAGGCUA
This 377-nucleotide ribosomal RNA is filed under the name uncultured Planctomycetota bacterium. Its description in RNAcentral is "bacterial SSU rRNA". It matches the Rfam family "Bacterial small subunit ribosomal RNA", at positions 521 to 896 of the family's 1533-position model. Lineage: Bacteria; Pseudomonadati; Planctomycetota. The record is from RNAcentral.